This 505-nucleotide ribosomal RNA is filed under the name uncultured bacterium. RNAcentral's name for it is "bacterial SSU rRNA". It matches the Rfam family "Bacterial small subunit ribosomal RNA", at positions 18 to 518 of the family's 1533-position model. The record is from RNAcentral.
CCUGGCUUAGGAUGGACGCUAGCGACAGGCCUAACACAUGCAAGUCAGGGGCAGCACAAGGAGCAAUCUGAGGUGGCGACCGGCGCACGGGUGAGUAACACGUAUGCAACCUGCCUGUAAGCGGGGAAUAACCCGUUGAAAGACGGACUAAUACCGCAUAAUACUAAAUUACUGCAUGGUAAUUUAUUUAAACAUUUAUGGCUUACAGAUGGGCAUGCGCAUGAUUAGCUAGUUGGAGAGGUAACGGCUCCCCAAGGCAACGAUCAUUAGGGGUUCUGAGAGGAAGGUCCCCCACACUGGUACUGAGACACGGACCAGACUCCUACGGGAGGCAGCAGUGAGGAAUAUUGGUCAAUGGACGAGAGUCUGAACCAGCCAAGUCGCGUGCAGGAAGAAUGUCCCUAUGGAUUGUAAACUGCUUUUGCAGGGGAAUAAAGUGCAUCACGUGUGAUGUUUUGUAUGUACUCUGCGAAUAAGGAUCGGCUAACUCCGUGCCAGCCGCCGC